AUUUGGAUGCAACAUUUAUCCUUUUUGUUCCUGUUUUUUUUUCCACAGCCAUGGCAACAAAAGGCCUUGUGCUCUCUGUGGUGGAGCAUCCUGCCUUUGUCCGAUCCAGCUUGGUGCGUCAGUCUCUGCAAACAACAAAACAUGUGGCCACCCAGCUGGCUGUCCCUGCCCCCAUCAGAGCACUAAGGGGGGCAGAGGCCUCUUCGAUUGGAGCCAAGGAGAGUAGCACACAGGAAAAGAACAACAACAACAAAAAAAACCCUCAACUGAAACAAGGCAUUUACGCCUACUGGCCCAGAGGAUAUCCAUUUCCAAUUUACAUUAGGAUGGCUACACACCUCAUGGAGUAGUGUGGCGUGAGCACAUUGAAAGUCCUCCCUAGCUAUGGAAAUAAGGUUCUUGCUAUUUCUAGUACCCUCUUCCCAGUAGUCUCUUUGGCUCCCUUAUACCAGCAUCAUUAAGAAGAAUUGCCCAGGGCUGUGGAUAUAGCUCAGUGGUAACACACUUGACUCGUGUGCUAGCAUGGGAUGUGCAAGGCUCUGGAUUCAAUUCCCAGACACACACACACACACACACACACACACACACACACACACAGAGCCUACUUAAUAUCCUCAGGUGAAUAAUUAUUGCAAAGAUUUCUUAUUCAUAUUAACUUCAGAAAAGAUUGUUAAAAAACCAGCAGGGAUGGUUCUUGACUUACCUACACCUCGUAUUUUCAUAUAUUACACUUUAAUUUUUAAAAUAAAACACUUUGCAUGUCUGUAUAUCUGCUGAUAAGUGAGCAUUUUGAUCUAUCAUACUGUGCUAAACAAUUAUGGUGUUAAUAACUUUGUUGUUAUGGGAUUAUACAACUAUUUGAUUUUUUGUGCCUCUUACACAAAAAGUUGAAAAUGGAAAAAUAAAAAUAUUGAUAGUGAUGACAAAAGGUAUAUGUUUUAUAAGCGAUGUGACUGGCAUAAAAUAGUUACUAUUAAUUAGGUUAUGCUGGAAAUACUGACUUUUUAUUCUCAUUUGGGUGCCCAUUGGUAUUAACUAAAUUUAUUCUGUGUUGAUUUGGAAGAGAAAACAAACAACAUAUCCUCACACAAUUCAAUAGCAAAAAACAAAAACACAACCAAACAAACCUGGGUAAAAAUGGUCAAAGGAUCUGACAUUUUUCCAAAGAAGACAUAAGAAUGGGCAACAGCCAUUCA
This 1196-nucleotide long non-coding RNA is filed under the name Chinchilla lanigera (long-tailed chinchilla). RNAcentral describes it as "lncRNA (ENSCLAG00000023244.1)". Lineage: Eukaryota; Metazoa; Chordata; Mammalia; Rodentia; Chinchillidae. The record is from RNAcentral.